This 292-nucleotide ribosomal RNA is filed under the name uncultured eukaryote. Its description in RNAcentral is "partial 16S ribosomal RNA". It matches the Rfam family "Bacterial small subunit ribosomal RNA", at positions 607 to 905 of the family's 1533-position model. The record is from RNAcentral.
GCUCAACCUUGGACAGGCAGCAGAGUACCUUUAGACUUGAGUGUGGUAGAGGUAGAGGGAAUCCCUAGCGUAACAGUGAAAUGUGUAGAUUUUAGGGAGAACACCAGCGGCGAAGGCGCUCUACUGGGCCAAUACUGACACUGAGAGACGAAAGCUAAGGGAGCGAAUAGGAUUAGAUACCCUAGUAGUCUUAGCUGUAAACGAUGGAAACUAAGUGCUGCCGAAUGCAGUGCUGUAGCUAACGCGUUAAGUUUCCCGCCUGGGGAGUAUGCUCGCAAGAGUGAAACUCAAA